CAAUAGCGUAUAUUAAAGUUGUUGCGGUAAAAAAGCUCGUAGUUGGAUUUCUACCGAAGAUAGCCGGUCGGGUCUUCGACCUUGUAUCUGGUUUUGUCUUUGGUAUCCUCAUAGGGAACGUUUCUGCGCUUUAUUGCGUGGUGCGGUAUCUAUGACUUUUACUUUGAGGAAAUUAGAGUGUUCACGGCAGGCAAACGCCUUGAAUAUAUUAGCAUGGAAUAAUAACAUAGGAUCUUCGUCCUAUUUUGUUGGUUUCUAGGGCUAAGAUAAUGAUUAAUAGGGAUAAUUGGUGGCAUCUGUAUCAACGCGUCAGAGGUGGAAUUCUUGGAUUGCGUUGCGACAAACUACUGCGAAAGCAUUUGCCAAGGAUGUUUUCAUUGA
This 381-nucleotide ribosomal RNA is filed under the name uncultured eukaryote. RNAcentral describes it as "partial 18S ribosomal RNA". It matches the Rfam family "Eukaryotic small subunit ribosomal RNA", at positions 592 to 976 of the family's 1831-position model. The record is from RNAcentral.